AGCGAACGCUGGCGGCAGGCCUAACACAUGCAAGUCGAACGGAUCCUUCGGGAUUAGUGGCGGACGGGUGAGUAACACGUGGGAACGUGCCCUUUGGUUCGGAACAACUCAGGGAAACUUGAGCUAAUACCGGAUGUGCCCUUCGGGGGAAAGAUUUAUCGCCAUUGGAGCGGCCCGCGUCUGAUUAGCUAGUUGGUGAGGUAACGGCCCACCAAGGCGACGAUCAGUAGCUGGUCUGAGAGGAUGAUCAGCCACACUGGGACUGAGACACGGCCCAGACUCCUACGGGAGGCAGCAGUGGGGAAUCUUGAGCAAUGGGCGAAAGCCUGACGCAGCCAUGCCGCGUGAAUGAUGAAGGUCUUAGGAUUGUAAAAUUCUUUCAGCGGGGACGAUAAUGACGGUACCCGCAGAAGAAGCUCCGGCUAACUUCGU
RNAcentral lists this ribosomal RNA (432 nucleotides) under uncultured bacterium. RNAcentral describes it as "partial 16S ribosomal RNA". It matches the Rfam family "Bacterial small subunit ribosomal RNA", at positions 29 to 506 of the family's 1533-position model. The record is from RNAcentral.